Molecule: ribosomal RNA, 468 nt
Filed under: uncultured bacterium
Lineage: Bacteria
Description: partial 16S ribosomal RNA
Rfam family: Bacterial small subunit ribosomal RNA
Source: RNAcentral
GAUGAACGCUGGCGGCGUGCCUAACACAUGCAAGUCGAACGGACAGGCCCUGAUUUUGCGGGGCGCUCGAGUGGCGAGCGCGUGUGUAACACGUGAGUAACAUGCCCUUGACUUUCGGGUAACUUCAGGAAACUGGGGCUCAUACCGCAUAGGAGCUCCUGCUGCGUGGUGUGGGUUGGAAAGUUUCGGCGGUUGGGGCUGGACUCGCGGCUUCUCCGCUUGUUGGUGGGGUAGUGGCUUACCAAGGCUGUGACGGGUAGCCGGCCUGAGAGGGUGACCGGCCACCUGGGGCCUGCGAGACGGCCCAGACGCCUACGGGAGGCAGCAGUGGGGAAUAUGGCACAAUGGGCGGAAGCCUGAUGCAGCAACGCCGCGUGCGGGAUGACGGCCUUCGGGUUGUAAACCGCUUUCGCCUGUGACGAAGCGUGAUUGACGGUAAUGGGUAAAGAAGCACCGGCUAACUACGUG